RNAcentral lists this ribosomal RNA (1370 nucleotides) under uncultured bacterium. RNAcentral's name for it is "bacterial SSU rRNA". It matches the Rfam family "Bacterial small subunit ribosomal RNA", at positions 28 to 1381 of the family's 1533-position model. The record is from RNAcentral.
GAUGAACGCUGGCGGCGUGCCUAAUACAUGCAAGUCGAGCGAACGGACGAGAAGCUUGCUUUUCUGAUGUUAGCGGCGGACGGGUGAGUAACACGUGGAUAACCUACCUAUAAGACUGGGAUAACUUCGGGAAACCGGAGCUAAUACCGGAUAAUAUUUUGAACCGCAUGGUUCAAAAGUGAAAGACGGUCUUGCUGUCACUUAUAGAUGGAUCCGCGCUGCAUUAGCUAGUUGGUAAGGUAACGGCUUACCAAGGCAACGACGCAUAGCCGACCUGAGAGGGUGAUCGGCCACACUGGAACUGAGACACGGUCCAGACUCCUACGGGAGGCAGCAGUAGGGAAUCUUCCGCAAUGGGCGGGGGGGGGACGGAGCAACGCCGCGUGAGUGAUGAAGGUCUUCGGAUCGUAAAACUCUGUUAUUAGGGAAGAACAUAUGUGUAAGUAACUGUGCACAUCUUGACGGUACCUAAUCAGAAAGCCACGGCUAACUACGUGCCAGCAGCCGCGGUAAUACGUAGGUGGCAAGCGUUAUCCGGAAUUAUUGGGCGUAAAGCGCGCGUAGCGGUUUUUUAGUCUGAUGUGAAAGCCCACGGCUCAACCGUGGAGGGUCAUUGGAAACUGGAAAACUUGAGUGCAGAAGAGGAAAGUGGAAUUCCAUGUGUAGCGGUGAAAUGCGCAGAGAUAUGGAGGAACACCAGUGGCGAAGGCGACUUUCUGGUCUGUAACUGACGCUGAUGUGCGAAAGCGUGGGGAUCAAACAGGAUUAGAUACCCUGGUAGUCCACGCCGUAAACGAUGAGUGCUAAGUGUUAGGGGGUUUCCGCCCCUUAGUGCUGCAGCUAACGCAUUAAGCACUCCGCCUGGGGAGUACGACCGCAAGGUUGAAACUCAAAGGAAUUGACGGGGACCCGCACAAGCGGUGGAGCAUGUGGUUUAAUUCGAAGCAACGCGAAGAACCUUACCAAAUCUUGACAUCCUUUGACAACUCUAGAGAUAGAGCUUUCCCCUUCGGGGGACAAAGUGACAGGUGGUGCAUGGUUGUCGUCAGCUCGUGUCGUGAGAUGUUGGGUUAAGUCCCGCAACGAGCGCAACCCUUAAGCUUAGUUGCCAUCAUUAAGUUGGGCACUCUAAGUUGACUGCCGGUGACAAACCGGAGGAAGGUGGGGAUGACGUCAAAUCAUCAUGCCCCUUAUGAUUUGGGCUACACACGUGCUACAAUGGACAAUACAAAGGGCAGCGAAACCGCGAGGUCAAGCAAAUCCCAUAAAGUUGUUCUCAGUUCGGAUUGUAGUCUGCAACUCGACUACAUGAAGCUGGAAUCGCUAGUAAUCGUAGAUCAGCAUGCUACGGUGAAUACGUUCCCGGGUCU